This 404-nucleotide unclassified non-coding RNA is filed under the name soil metagenome. RNAcentral describes it as "partial contains 5.8S ribosomal RNA, internal transcribed spacer 2, and large subunit ribosomal RNA". The stretch from base 1 to 122 matches the Rfam family "5.8S ribosomal RNA", at positions 35 to 154 of the family's 154-position model. The record is from RNAcentral.
GAUGAAGAACGUAGUGAAAUGCGAUACUUGGUGUGAAUUGCAGAAUCCCGUGAACCAUCGAGUUUUUGAACGCAAGUUGCGCCCGAAGCCGUUAGGCUGAGGGCACGCCUGCCUGGGUGUCACACAUCGUUGCCCCAAUGCCAAUCGCCUCACUUUGUAGGUAUUUGCUUGGGGUGAAUGUUGGCCUCCCGUGAGCUUUGUCUCACGGUUGGUUGAAAAUCGAGUGCAUGGUGUUGGGUGUACCAUGAUGGAUGGUGGUUGAGUGAUGAUGCUCGAGACCAAUCAUGGGUAACUCCACCAGAAUUGGGCUCGGUGACCCACAUGCGUCCCUUGGAUGCUCCCUAAGGAGACCUCAGGUCAGGAGGGGCUACCCGCUGAGUUUAAGCAUAUCAAUAAGCGGAGGA